CGAUCCUCCGUCUACACCUGUAGAAUAUGUCCUACAGUGGUCGUCGGUGGAUGGGC
Molecule: microRNA precursor, 56 nt
Filed under: Heligmosomoides polygyrus
Lineage: Eukaryota; Metazoa; Nematoda; Chromadorea; Rhabditida; Heligmosomidae
Description: microRNA hpo-mir-10081 precursor
Source: miRBase by way of RNAcentral